This 1010-nucleotide long non-coding RNA is filed under the name Homo sapiens (human). RNAcentral describes it as "HSALNT0309528". The record is from RNAcentral. Lineage: Eukaryota; Metazoa; Chordata; Mammalia; Primates; Hominidae.
GCUUGAGCAGGAACAAGGAAAUAGCAUAAGACAAACCAGAGGUGGGGUGGCAUCAGGUCACCUCAGGCUGCCUUCCUCACAAGGAUUGAAGCAGAGGGACUUUCUUACCACAUAGCUUACAACUGGAUCUCCCUUCUGAUUUCUCAAAUGUCAGAUAAACAACGUCGUUUCAGUUUGGUGACAUGGAAUUUAAGUAUGAGUGACUCCAUUUUGGAACAACUCUGUGGGGCUGCUUGGAAGCCCCCGGAGAGAAGCCUGAGCUGCAUCUCACCGUGUGUUUCAUCCAUGGCGUGCUCCCAGCUCUAGCGUGCGUGGAGAGAGGUCAUGGAGUGUGGUUGCUUUACUUUCUACAAAAGUUCCGAAAGCAGGAGCCCACUGGUUUCAGCAGAAUAUACAUCAUCAUGAAGUCCCCAGGAGAGGUGAACAAGGAAGGAAUGCUCUCCUCACGUUUCUGGAAGUUCCCUGAGGCCCUGCCCAGCUUCUCUUUGGUGAUAGAUGGAGUCUCAUUCUGUCACCCAAGCUGGAGUACAGUGGCGCAAUCUCAGCUCACUGCAACCUGCUUCUCCCGGGUUCAAGCGAUUCUCCUGCCUCAGCCUCCCCAGUACUGGGACUACAGGCGUGCACUACCACGCCUGGCUAAUUUUUUGUAUUUUUUAGUAGAGACGGGGUUUCACCAUGUUGGUCAGGCUGGUCUCGAAGUCCUGACCUCAGGCAAUCUGCUUGCCUCACCUCCCAAAGUGCUGGGAUUACAGACGUGAGCCACUGUGCCUGGCCCUCCCUGCUCUUCUUGUCCUGCACUGAGCAUCUCCCACCUUCUAGCAGAUCUGAUCGAUCAGUUUGUUCCAGUGUACAAUGACUGAUGAAGGCUGAAAUAUUAGUCAUUUACAUUAUAAAAAUGGAUAAUUGAAAAAUGUGCUGAUUAUCCCCCCAAAAGCCAUCGAAAGUAGCAGGCAUUUUAGACAACCCCAUUCUUGCUGGUUUCUCAACUUCAUUAACCCACGAAUGAAGAA